UUGAAGUCGAGAAUGAAAGGAAAAAUUAAAAUAAACUGUCUUAAAAGUUUUUUUUGAAAAUUGCUGAUAUGGUGAAAAUUCCAUAGAAAAUUUUAAUAGACGAGAAGACCCUAUGAAUUAUUUAUUAAAAAAUUUUUUUGGAAAAUUUUAAAUUUUUGUUGGGGCAACAGGAAUUAAUCGAAAAAAUUUCAUUUUGGAUAUAUAACAUUUGAAGUUUUACUAUAAGUGAAUUUAAUU
Molecule: ribosomal RNA, 237 nt
Filed under: Achatinella fuscobasis
Lineage: Eukaryota; Metazoa; Mollusca; Gastropoda; Stylommatophora; Achatinellidae
Description: partial 16S ribosomal RNA
Source: RNAcentral